UUCACACAUGCUUUUAACGUAGGCGCACUUCGAGCGACGCCUACAGGAUGCUAAUGAACAAAUGUAUCCCUUGUGUUGGGCGGUUGUUGAAGGUGAAACAAAUGACUCGUGGAGAUGGUUCUUUGCUGAGUUAAGGAAGGUUUUAGAUGAUACCGAUGGGACAAGUAUGACUUUUAUCUCUGAUGAAGCACAGGCCGUUUUAAAUGGAGUAGCAAAUGUGUUCCCAAAGGCAGAGCAUAGAGAUUGUGCUAGGCAUGUCUUUGCUUAUUGGCACAAUGGUUUUAAAGGUGAUGAGAUGAAAAUGUUGUUCUGGAAUGUGGCUAAAGCAUAUAAUAAGGCAGAUUACGAAAAUGCACUUGCUCAAAUGGAGAAGGUAAGUCCUGCAGCUGUUGAUGCUUUCAAGUCAUACAAUCCUGAAUGUUUUUGCAGAGCAUUUGUAAAAAAAGACACACGAUGUGAUGUUAUUGUCAACAAUAUGGCAGAGACCUUCAAUGGUUAUAUCAUUAAUGCUAGGACAAAACAUCUUAUUUUUAUGCUAGAAGAUAUUAGAUCUGCAUUAAUGCAAAGACUUGUUUUGAAAAAACAAGAAAUAGAGAAAAUCAGAGAUGAAAUAUGCCCUAGAGUUAGGAUUAAGUUGAACAAAGAGAAGGCAUUAGCUGCUGAGUGUACUAUAAUUCCUUCAACAAUCACUCUAUUUCAAGUGUCCUACAAGUUAGACACAGUUACAGUAGACUUGGUUAACAAAUCUUGUACUUGUGGGAAAUGGGAUUUGUUAGGGGUGCCGUGUUGUCAUGCUUGUGCUUGCAUUUUUUUCAUUCACGAGGAGCCAGAGAAAUAUGUGGAUGCAUGUUACAAAACAGAAACCUACUUGAAAAUUUAUUCAGCAUCAAUCCCGCCUUGUGUGGGGGAAAGAUAUUGGCCUAAAGUUGAUCUCCCAAUUGACCCUCCUCCAAUUAAGAUUGGUCCUGGUAGACCAAGAAGGAAUAGAAGAAAAACACCACAUGAGCAUCCUAAAAUUCUUGGAAAAUUGACUAGACAUGGGGUAGAAAUGAGUUGUAGCGUUUGUAAAUCAAAAGAGCACAACAAAAGAAGGUGUCCAGACAAAGACAAAGGCACUCAAAUUCCACCUCAGCCAAAAAGAAAGAGAGGAAGACCAAGGGCUAUGGUAGUACAACAUAGCAGGGAUGACAAUGGUGAAUCAACCCAGAACAUGCAUCACCAACAAACUGCUGAACCAUCUACAAUUGGUAGGAAUGGGAGGGAUAGUCAUAAGAGGAAGGGGUAGAGGAAGUAGAGGAGGUGGGAGGAGUGGGAGUGUUGAUGGUGGCAGGAGCGGAAGGACUGCUGGCAGGGGUGGACGGGCUGGUGGCAGGGGUGAACGGGCUAGUGGCAGAAGAAAUGGCAGUAGAGCUAGUAGGACUACUCAUCAGAUCCCAAGAGGCGUGGGGGUGCUAUUUGAUGAUGGUGGCAAUGUUCUACAAACUGGAAGCAAUUGACUUAUUGGAUUUUUUUAUUUAUUUAUUUUUUUUACAAUCAUGUACUAGAAGUAAAUGAUCAAGUUUUUGGCAUGUUACGUUGGUUUUUACAAUGCUAGUGAUUGUAAUAUUUAUGAAACAAGAUACUUGGUACUUUUUUUUAACAACUUUGUGCUGCAAUGAUUUUGAUUGUUAAUUAAAAUCGUGAUUGAUUUUUCCUUAAUCAACUUAAUUUCAUCAUAUGCUACAUAAUACAACCAAUAUGUUUUUUCAUAAACAAAAUAAAGUUGCGUUAAAAAAAAACACAAAUAGUUGUUUAAAAGUAGUACAUCACAACAAAUAGAAAACGAAAAUAUUGAUAUACAGAAAGAGCAAAAUCAGUAAGAGUAAUUAACA
This is an RNA transcript of Chenopodium quinoa (quinoa), 1871 nucleotides long. RefSeq lists it as uncharacterized. NCBI's taxonomy places the organism in Eukaryota, Viridiplantae, Streptophyta, Magnoliopsida, Caryophyllales, Amaranthaceae. The transcript is spliced from 3 exons. The record is from RefSeq and is a predicted model, not a curated record.